Molecule: ribosomal RNA, 747 nt
Filed under: uncultured bacterium
Lineage: Bacteria
Description: bacterial SSU rRNA
Rfam family: Bacterial small subunit ribosomal RNA
Source: RNAcentral
UGGGGGAUAACGUGGGGAAACUCACGCUAAUACCGCAUAAUCUCUACGGAGCAAAGCGGGGGCUCUUCGGACCUCGUGCUUAAAGAUGAGCCUAUGUCAGAUUAGCUUGUUGGUGGGGUAAUGGCCUACCAAGGCGACGAUCUGUAGCUGGUUUGAGAGAACGAUCGGCCACACUGGGACUGAGACACGGCCCAGACUCCUACGGGAGGCAGCAGUGGGGAAUAUUGGACAAUGGGCGCAAGCCUGAUCCAGCAAUGCCGCGUGUGUGAAGAAGGCCUGCGGGUUGUAAAGCACUUUCAGUUGGGAGGAAAGGUUUAAGUUUAAUACGCUUGAACUGUGACGUUACCAACAGAAGAAGCACCGGCUAACUCUGUGCCAGCAGCCGCGGUAAUACAGAGGGUGCAAGCGUUAAUCGGAAUUACUGGGCGUAAAGCGCGCGUAGGCGGUUUGUUAAGUCGGAUGUGAAAUCCCUGGGCUCAACCUGGGAACUGCAUUCGAAACUGACUGACUAGAGUAUGGUAGAGGGUGGUGGAAUUCCUAGUGUAGCGGUGAAAUGCGUAGAUAUUAGGAGGAACAUCAGUGGCGAAGGCGACCCACCUGGACCAAUACUGACGCUGAGGUGCGAAAGCGUGGGGAGUCAAACAGGAUUAGAUACCCUGGUAGUCCACGCCGUAAACGAUGUCAACUAGAUGUUGGGAGGGUCUACCUCUUAGUGUCGCAGCUAACGCGUUUAGUUGACCGCCUGGG